AUUGAACGCUGGCGGCAGGCCUAACACAUGCAAGUCGAACGAGUGGCGGACGGGUGAGUAAUGUCUGGGAAACUGCCUGAUGGAGGGGGAUAACUACUGGAAACGGUAGCUAAUACCGCAUACCAUCGGAUGUGCCCAGAUGGGAUUUGCUAGUAGGUGGGGUAAAGGCUCACCUAGGCGACGAUCCCUAGCUGGGCUGAGAGGAGGACCAGCCACCUUGUAACUGAGAAACGGUCCAGACUCCUACGGUAGGCCGCAGUGGGGAAUAUUGCGUAAUGUGCGCCAGCCUGAUGCAGCCAUGCCGCGUGUAUGAAGAAGGCCUUCGGGUUGUAAAGUACUUUCAGCGGCGAGGCGUUACCCGCAGAAGAAGCACCGGCUAACUCCGUGCCAGCAGCCGCGGUAAUAC
Molecule: ribosomal RNA, 406 nt
Filed under: uncultured bacterium
Lineage: Bacteria
Description: partial 16S ribosomal RNA
Rfam family: Bacterial small subunit ribosomal RNA
Source: RNAcentral